GGGGAUUUAGCUCAGUGGUGUGAGUGCCUGCCUGGCAAGCACAAGGUCAAGAGUUCAAUCCCCA
Molecule: transfer RNA, 64 nt
Filed under: Cavia porcellus (domestic guinea pig)
Lineage: Eukaryota; Metazoa; Chordata; Mammalia; Rodentia; Caviidae
Rfam family: tRNA
About the family: Transfer RNA (tRNA) molecules are approximately 80 nucleotides in length. Their secondary structure includes four short double-helical elements and three loops (D, anti-codon, and T loops).
Source: Rfam by way of RNAcentral